GACAUGAAGUGGAUGAUUGCAAAAGCAUGGACAGAUGCAAGAUCUGGGAAAAUAGCUAACUCAUUGCAGGGAUACCGGUGAAAUUCCCUCAGCCUGAUGAUCAAAUGGUAGAAAUUGGAGGUUUACCAGUAAUGCAUCUAGGAGUUUGAUUAUACUGAAUGAGUGGUACACUUGAGAAAGUUACUCUAAGGGUGUCCUCAGAUGUUGCUGCUGAAAUUUAGCUACCAGAUGAAUUGCUUUCAUUUGAGAAAAAACUCCCAUUUGAGCGACUAACUUCUGAGUGGGCUUCAUUUAAUAAAAUAAAAUAAAAUAAAAAGCUAUUCACAAGGUAGUGCAUCUGUUGUAGUCCAAAAUCCAUGUUAGUUAAUUCUCUUCAACUAUCAAUUAUUUAUUUAUUUAUUGUACACAUUUGGCCUUGCUGAUGAUAGUACCAACCUGAUUUGUAGGUAAUGACACAGUGGUCCCCUCCUGAUGAGUGGCAUGGAUCUUGUUUGGAUGUGUUACGUUUCCAUCUCUAAUUAGGGUAGCCUCUGCAUUGCUUGUCAACCAAAUAAUCCCGAUGCCCCUACUUACGUGAGCCUUUGAUAUUGUGGACCCAUUAGUGUGGAACGGUCAGCUUUCCUCAGUGGGAGCAACUGGUUGUAGAAUCACUCGAACUUGUAUCUAUUAAAAUCAUAAAACGAAAUUCGAUAUGUUUAAGAGCCUGUUUGCACACAACUGGUGUUGAACUGCAGAUCAGUUGAAUAGGAUUAGAAUUAGCUUCAUCCAUUCGUUUCAAGUGGGGAGAUGAAAGAAAAUUGGUAGGAGAACUGCUGGAUUCUGCCAGCUUCCAGCUUCCAUCCCUGAAAGUAUUUGAGAUGUGUGCACCGUCUCAUAUUUGAAUCCCCUUUCCUAUAACAAAUCUGAAAAACUUAGAUUUUUUUAUUUUUAUUUUUUAUUUUUAAUCCCAUAUUCUGUCAUUCCUAACACACCUUCGGAAUUUUAAAUUUGGAGAAAAUGAGGAGGUAUGGCCAGAAUUACCCCCUCAGUUCAUGGAGAUUGCCAGAGUGGAUUAAAGGUAAAAGAUGUCUUUUCUUUUGGUGUUAAACCAAAAAAUGGUAACACCUAUUUGAGAUUGGACUAUUGGCAGCAACGAAAGCCUGCUAAACGAAAAACAAGGAAAGAAACUAACUGUUAAUAAAAACCCACUUAACUUCCACUAACGAGCUCAACAAUGUAUAUCCAUCCCAAGAAAAUACAAGCACAAUUACAUCUCCAACUCAUCUAUGAAAGGCUGAAAACCAAUCACCAUCGUUAAGGGCCUGCAGUUCUAUAGAUUGCAACUCAUUUAUUCCUGCAACAACCUGCUACAGUCUACAGCUAGGCAAAGGUAGUAGAGUAAGAUAUGUGGGUCCACUAAAUUCGCUUAACAAUUGGAUGAAUGUAGUAAGUAGUAACUAUGAGUUGGUUCGAUCAUGUUGCUCCAUGGAUGGUGCUCUUUGACGCAACAUUUAGGUCUCAGGUGUGAUCCCAAUUUACCUACCCACAUAAAAAAAGGGGGAAGAAACUACUAUUUGGUGGAAUAUACAAUAUAUUGGAGUUUUCUCCUAUGCUUUAUUGGCAUGGAGGGAGGGGCUGGAGCUGGCUAGACUUCGUGAUAUUAAGAAAUAAUUUGAGUAUUAAAAAAUUAUGAGUCUUAAUGCUCUCUAAAUGUCCAACUAAGUCUUAAAAAUUGAUAUAACAAAAAAUAUUAAUCCAAACAUGAAAACAUGACACAACAGUUUCAUGUUUUUAUGUUUUAUUUGGAGAAUUCAUCACUGUUGCUAUGUGCAACAUUUUACUUUUCUGUCUGAGUUACAGUUCAUUUGCAGCAACAUGGAGCACCUAUGAAGUCUCCUGGUUCUCGGCUUCAACUUUGAGAUGUUAUGUUGUAAGGUCGUAGGAUCCAGCUGCCUAUUGUGUUUUCUAAGAUGUUUAUGUUUUGCUUAUAAUUUCAAUUGAUGCUUCUGUUGAUGAUUGGAGCAUCGUGAUGCUUUUAUGUGAUUAGAUUCCCAUAGUUUACUAAUUUUUCAUGUUCAACUUGAAUAUAAAGAAAUUGUUGCUUA
This is a long non-coding RNA of Magnolia sinica, 2084 nucleotides long. RefSeq lists it as uncharacterized. The record is from RefSeq and is a predicted model, not a curated record. The transcript is spliced from 2 exons. Lineage: Eukaryota; Viridiplantae; Streptophyta; Magnoliopsida; Magnoliales; Magnoliaceae.